Molecule: long non-coding RNA, 981 nt
Filed under: Mus musculus (house mouse)
Lineage: Eukaryota; Metazoa; Chordata; Mammalia; Rodentia; Muridae
Description: expressed sequence AI506816
Source: RNAcentral
GGGGAUCUUCUAAAUCAGAAUAAAACACGUUCUCCACUCAAGUCAGAAGAACUGUCCAUUCAAAGCCUACAGUGCCAACCUAUGACAAGAUUGCAGGAUGGCCUGUUAGGAAGCCCACAAUGACUUUCCCAUUCACUAUAAGUUACCCACAGAUGAAAGAAUUUCACAAUGUCACAAUGAAUUUGGUUGCCGACACAGAGAUCCUAGAUCUAAGGAGAUUUCAGGAGGCAGAGGUAGGCUGCUGAACACACUCCAUGUGAACAACUAUUAUAUAACUUGAGUGUUUACAAAGUAACUUAAGCUGUAGAUGGAGCCAUAUCAGGUCCAGGUGCUAGAGAACUUUCCAUUAAAUCUUUAAUUUUGAGACUGUUAAUGCUGAAUGCAAAAAAAAAAAAACUAUUAGAAUUUCAAGAGUCAGAUCUACGCCUAUUUAUUUAUGGGUUAAAACUACUGUGGAUAUUAGGUCUAGUAUUUCCAAUUCAGUUAUGAUUGGGCAGGCAAUUACCAAAGGUGGUCUGAGUGCCUUAUACUUUUAGCCGAGGCAGACAUUUCCUAAAGGGCUGGAGACAAGCAGUACCUAACAAGAGGACCUAACUCCGCUGGCAGCUCCUCAUUAGUUAGAUCUGGCAGCCAUGUUCGGUCUUAAAUUUCCCAGGACAGCCCAGCUUCCUGUAGAAACCCCAGAAAGAGGGCAGCCAAUCAGCAACUGUCCUGAUGUCUGGCCAAGGGCUUAUAACAGGUAUGAAAGAGUCCCUAUAAGGUAGCAAUCUCUCCCUUGAGGUACAAACCAACCAGAAAUUUACGAAUAUCCUAUACCAUAAAGCUCAACCAAUCCUGGUGAAGGUGACCCAACUACAACUGGAAAACCAACUGGUUCUAAAAGGGGCCUACUAGCCUCCCUCAUGGUCCCUGAUUGUGCUUGGAUGAUUGACCCCUACAUGCCAGCUGUAUUUGAAGAAUAAAAGUUCUGUGUCUUUACAU